Molecule: long non-coding RNA, 1799 nt
Organism: Culex pipiens pallens (northern house mosquito)
Lineage: Eukaryota; Metazoa; Arthropoda; Insecta; Diptera; Culicidae
Exons: 2
Source: RefSeq, a predicted model, not a curated record
GGACUCAUCCUCCUCCGUGAAACUGCUUUCGAGCUACCUCCUCCGGAAUCACAAGAGGAAGGUUCAUCCUUCUAUCGCUGACACUCCAAAACGAUAGAAAAAAUGUCACAGUUUCACGUCCAGUCCCCAAUUACCACCAUGAACGCAGAAACGUAAACAAUCACACGCACACUCGCGAAAACACACGGAUCAAAUACGGUUUCCCCACAAAUCGCGAUUCUGAUGACGCGACGACAAAAACCAAAACAAAUCGACACUGCUGUUUUCCUCCACCGAAAACUGUCAAAUUCGCCAAAAUCAUUCCGGCGUUGAUCCACGUCUUAACAGCACCGGCAGGAGGAGGAGGAGGAGGAGGAACGAUGACCAGCGGCAUGUAAGCAGGAGGAUUUCGCUAACAUAACUUCUCCACAGAGCCACAGAAACAUCAACUUUCACAUAAAUUACAACAUUUCGCAACUCUCACAUAAAACGACACCAACGAACGCACAUUCCCACGGCCAAAAUACGCACUUACAACCAGCGGCGAUUCGCGGGCUGUUGUUAAUCUGUGGAAAACUACUGCACCAAAAACGUAAACAAACCCUUGUCCUUGUCCUGGCGAAUCCGCCAAAAUCCUUUCCUCGUUAAUCCACAGCAGCCCCCCGCCACAAAAACACAAACAAUCACUUAACCACAACAUAUCACGGCUCCCAAAUGCCACGGAACGAACGAACACACACUCCCUCGGCCACAGAACGUACUCACAACCCGCGGCGAUUCGCGGACUAUAAUUCAUCCGCGGAAAACUACUGCGCGAAAACGUACACAAACCAACCCGCCACGAACGCAAAAGCUGUCUGUCUGCCGAUUGCCGAUUCCUGUCACGACAUGUCGCGCGCGUUGCGUGCGAGCAGUGAACGAAAGAAGAGAGAAAAGAGAGAAUGAGCGAGCGCGUGGGCUCAUUUUUGCGCUUUGCGAUGAAAUUGUAUAUGCGGUAAAAUACUUUUUAAUGUGAUUAGUUUAACUAGUACAUUUAAAGUAAAUUAAAGUGAAAAAAAAUUCAAUAAAAAUGUCCAUUAACAAAACUGUCAUUUUAGCUAAGUCCCGCUUGAAAAAAUUAACUUUAUAAAUCAUCUCAUAAUCCAGGGUUUUAAAAAAUAUUCUAAGUGUAGGAAAAGUGAAAUUUUGUCAAGGAGUGAAAAUUUUACUAAGUCCAACAAAAACUAGAUAAAACUAGAAAAUAUCAUCUCAUGAUGAAGAGGUCGAAAUUUUUUCUAAGUCCCAAAAUAAUUUGGCUUUCGAAAUUCUGCUAAGUCCAGCAAAAACAAGAUAAAACAAAAUAAUAUCAUCUCAUGAUAAAGAUUUCGAAUUUUUUUCUAAGUUUCAAAAUAAUUUGGCUUUCGAAAUUUUGCUAAGUCCAGUGAAAGCAUGAUAAAACAAAAUAACAUCAUCUCAUGAUAAAGAGGUCAAUUUUUUUUCUAAGUCCCAAAAUAAUUCGGUUUUCGAUUUUUUUCUAAGUCCGGUAAUAUCAUGAGAAAAUGAAAAUUUAACAACUGAUGAUAAAAGGUCUACAAACAUAGAAAGGAACAUAGAUUUCGGCGCGCAUUUUAAGAGUUUUUGGAACAAAUAUCAAACAUGCCAUGAUAUCAAAAACAACUCAAGUUAUUUUUUUGUUCGUCCCAUGAUGCGACUUUCUGCCCGGAUAACCGAACAUGGCCACGAACAUAAAUUGUUCGAGGUGUAUCUGCGAAAAAUCUUGUUGAGUUUAUUUGACCAACAAUGCCACAUCAAGUUGAGUUUAUAGUAGCAAACAACUGAAA